RNAcentral lists this unclassified non-coding RNA (730 nucleotides) under Bombus terrestris (buff-tailed bumblebee). RNAcentral describes it as "misc RNA ENSBTSG00005038132.1". Lineage: Eukaryota; Metazoa; Arthropoda; Insecta; Hymenoptera; Apidae. The record is from RNAcentral.
AAUAACUAAUAUAUAUAUAUUAAUAAUAUAAUAAAUAACUAAUAAAUAUAUAAAUAACUAAUUAUGUUACGGUGCAACAUUAACAACACUGAAUUAGGAGAUAGAUUGAAAAACACGACGUUGAAGAUAACCGAUCUCUCCUUAAUCCGACUAAUUCUCACCAUGUAAGCAUACACGGACUCAAGAUUGUCAAGAAGUGUCACUGGAAAAUUCUCAAAUAACAGCUUGUGUUCAAGAGGCAAAAAGACAAAUCCAGGAUUUAAAGAUGAAGAAAAACAAAGCAUCAAGUUACCUUUACCGAUCGGCAAUUUUUUCUUCUACUCGCAAAUUUGAAUAUAAUGGAAAACAGUUAGAAAAGACUGAUUUAAAGUGAAAUUUUUAAUUGAGGUAUUUUCACAGAGAUGUUUAAAGACUACAGCAGAGUAAUAGCAUCGAAAGUUCCCUUGAAUCGAUUUUAGCAAAUAAUGCUUCAAUGACAGUUUGCCGAAAGAAAGCAUUACAUAAACCAAUUUUCAAUCCUAUAACUCCCUAUUAGCAAAAUUGAAUGUUAAAAUUAUGCUUCAACUUGCUUUUAUCUCUAUAAUAAACAUAUUUGGCCAAACAACCAAUAACACAAAUACACGUUAAUUAUAACAUAUCAUAAAAAUUUUUAUUAUCUUUUGAGACUAUCUUACACAUUCAAUAAGUAUGUAUCGUUUAUCGGAAACAUGUUCACCAAUAUGAAUUUUGC